CUAACCAGGAUUCCCCUAGUAACGGCGAGUGAAGAGGGAAAAGCCCAGCACCGAAGCCUGCGGCAGUUUUGCUGUUAGGCAAUGUGGUGUUUAGGCCGGCUCGCGGGAUUGCCACUCCACUCGAAGUCCAGCAUUGAGUAUGGUCACUGGAAUUGGCCCAGAGAGGGUGAAAGGCCCGUACGGGUGGAGUUUCAGACAAGUCAGGCAAUUCACCAGGUCGACCUUCGAGUCGGGUUGUUUGAGAAUGCAGCCCAAAGUGGGUGGUAAACUCCAUCCAAGGCUAAAUACUAGCACGAGUCCGAUAGCGAACAAGUACCGUGAGGGAAAGUUGAAAAGUACUUUGAAGAGAGAGUAAACAGUACGUGAAGCCGCAUGCAGGUAAACGGGUGGCGCCAAGCUGCGGGCUUGGAGAAUUCAGUUGGCUAGGUUGCAUGAUGCGCCUGACGCGUCUAUCGGUCGGAAUAAGCAGUGAUAGUCCACUGGUAAACGGUGGGCCCGGUCGCAAGACUGGGAUAUGUGUACCGAGCGGAAGCCGGAGCAUGCUAUCUAUCUGUUGGACCGCCUAGUCAGUGCACUUUCUCUAUGGCCAACACCACGACCGGUAGUAUUGCCAGUCUGCUGUAGCCAAGUCGUAUCUGAUGGGUCCUUGUGGCUAAUUGGGUGCGAUCACAGGCAAAUCCAGUGAACGGCGUAGAGUGGCUCUUCGGGGACGCUUUGCGUGUUAUCGGUAACUGGUUGUGAUCGGGUCGCUUGAUGGCGCGGUAACCGUUGUCAGGUGGCCUGGUGGGCUAUGGUGGUAAGAAUAACUGUGCAAGGUACCGGGGUUAGCGACCUCAAUUGCUAUCUGCACGCACGUUGCCUAGUGUAAUGUGGGGAUGGCGUAACCGUGGUCUGCCUGUUGUUGAGUCUGAUUGUCGUGUCGCCCGCAAAAAGUGGGCCCGGCNGUGGCUUGAUGCGGGAUGGGCUGUGGGCGUUGUCUCUGGUGUGGACUGUAGUGGGUCUGAUAGUCAGUGGUGCGGCGGUAGGCUAGCUUCCCGACCCGUCUUGAAACACGGACCAAGGAGUUUAACAUGUAUGCGAGUCAAAGGGUCCUACGAAACCCCAAGGCGCAGUGAAAGUGAAGCUUCGACUUGUCUCGGAGUGUGGUGAGAUCCUGCUGUUACUCGCAUCAGCCUUGGUGUCAGCAUCAGGCUUAAGAGCGGUAGGCGCAUCACCGGCCCGUCUCAUGAUGUGGUCAUUGGAUGUAUGCAGUUGCUGCGCAA
This 1262-nucleotide ribosomal RNA is filed under the name Anthobothrium sp. MS05-34-17. RNAcentral's name for it is "eukaryotic LSU rRNA". It matches the Rfam family "Eukaryotic large subunit ribosomal RNA", at positions 65 to 797 of the family's 3401-position model. Lineage: Eukaryota; Metazoa; Platyhelminthes; Cestoda; Tetraphyllidea. The record is from RNAcentral.